Long non-coding RNA from Passer domesticus (house sparrow), 4226 nucleotides. RefSeq lists it as uncharacterized. The record is from RefSeq and is a predicted model, not a curated record. Lineage: Eukaryota; Metazoa; Chordata; Aves; Passeriformes; Passeridae. The transcript is spliced from 3 exons.
GUGCCCCGGUGCCCCGAAAGCCAAAGGGCAUCAGCCACCGCCAAGCCCCGCACCGCUCCCCGGCCCUCCUCGGCACAGGUCAUUCUCCUUCGCCAUCGGCAGCUGCUGCUCUGGGAGGCGUGAAUUAGUGCAAAGGGCAGCAGAGUGCCCUGAGCAGGAUAACCCCUGCCGAGGAGGGAAGGGGAAGGCAGCCGGGGCACGGACCAGGGCAGGCCCAGUCCUUGCUGGCAUCAGCCAGCAGCUUGGCUUAGGUCACACCUAGGGGUGGAGAGCAUGGCCACAAUGAUGUUUCACACAUGGCUGUUAAAUCCCCAGCAGAGAUACAGGGCUGGGGGCUCAGGUGCUGGAUGUUUUGUCAAGGUAUGGGAAAAAAAGCCAUGGCAAACGGGCAUUGUGUUUAGUGCUUGACAAACACAUGACAAUACAAUGGUGGCUGGGCUCCUGCCUGGUACAGGUAUGAUGCACCACAGGUGGAAAGCAGGCCUAGAAAAUUCAGUGCUUUUUUUUGAUUGUCUGGUUCCCAUCUGGAGCUCCAAGUGCAAUUUUGACACCAUGGAUGGGUUAUUUCUUUCAGCCCAAAUCCCUGCCCUUCAAAUCCAGUUGCUACAUUGAAUGAAUGUCCUAGGCAGCUGCACUUAAAAAGAAUUAUAUUGAAGAAGGUUGUCAUUUGCAAGGGGUAGCUAAGUGCUUGUUUUUCAGAUCAAACAGCAGUUUAUUUAGCCCAUGUUAAUUUUCAGCUUUAAAAAUCCAGGUUAUCUGUUUCGGCUUACGCACUGACCUAAUUUAUGUAGCUACUGUUUAAGUAUUUUUAAACGUUGAGCACAAAAGCAGAUGCAUCUUGGGGCAACCUGAGUAGUUCAGCAAUUGGCACAUCAUGUGUUCUAGCUGUCACACAUGGCAGGACUGAAACCUGCCCCUUUUCAAAUGAGCCAGCAUGCCAGACAACUUUACCAAGGGGUAGUAGAAACCAGCAAGUGGUGAAGCUAACUCCAAAAGCCAAGUAAUACCUGGUGGUUUUUGGGGUUUUGGUUGGGUUUUUUUUCCAUGAGAUCUUGACAUUUUUGGACCAGGCAGCAGACAAUAGCAAGUUGCUAGGGGAGCUCUGUGUUAUUUGCAGAAAAAACAAGUGUUAUUAUUCAUUUGUAUUUCAGCCUUCCCGUGGCAGUGCUCUUAGUAUCUGGAUUUUUGCCUUGUCUCGUUUUGGAAAGGACUCGUUUUCUUUCCUCCUUCAACUGUUGUUCACUGCUGUUUUGGCACAGGUGCCCCAGAUAUUUUUGGGUGUUCAGUAAACAGCAUGAAUUGUUCAUGCAAGAAAUUUGGAGAGGAAAUCUAUAGUUCAUGGCUGACCUCUACUGUUGGCUCAUUUUUUUGCUUUACACUUGGCUAUGUUGACAAAUGCUUCACCCCUCCGUGAUGAACACAGGGUCGACACCAUGCACAGCCCAAGGUCUCAAAAGGGCCCACCGGAGGCAAUACCCACUCUUCUCUGAGCUUUGAUUCUUCUCUCUCUGCUAUCCAGCCAGGUGAUUUGGAGACAGCUCUUUCCUCUCCCUAGAAGAUUUGCAGAUGAACAAAAUUGUGCAUCUUCCUAUGUGACAGAAGAUGAUAAAAUAGCCCUGGGAAGAAGCUGAUAGUGAAGUGACCAUCUUGUACUGUAUCCAUCUAGAGUGACUGCAGCACUUUCUGACUCUGAUUUAAUUAUGGUGCAAUUGCAGUGACUUGGGGCUCUAUAUCAGGAAAUAAUCUUCUUUUCCUUCAUUUUCCUUCUUUUUAGAGAAAUAGGUGAAGUAGGCUAGAUUUUAAAUGGUAGCCUACAGCACAUGUUAGAUGCCCACGUUUUUUUGAAUGUUAUUUGAAUUAAAUAACCUCUUUAUUUGUUAGCUGCUUUUUUAUAUAUAGUCCUAGUAAUUGCAUCCCAUGUUAUUAGUUAUUCUCUGUAGUUUGCUUUGCCCAAUGAGUAGUCUCAGGGAUUGAGAACAUACAUAUGACGAGCUUGAUUUUUUUUUCUGUAAAAUGUCCUGAAACAUUAUAUGGUUCUUCCUUGCAGGAGUUAGCAAGUAGUUUUGAUGUUGAGUUUUCUAUUGAAGGAUGAAUUAGUGAUCUGAAAUAUGGUUAAUUUUCUGAUUGAACUUUAUAUUCUCUGCAUGCUAAUUUGAACAGAGGUUCACAAAGGCAGUGCCUUUCCCAAAUUCUUAGUUCUAACACCAGUAUGUGAUUGCCAGAAAAUGAUCCAUUCCCCAAAUUGUCAUCUGUUGGGAAGGAUAAAGAGCACAGACUAUUCUGUUGUUUAAAAAUAACAAAGCUGCUGCCCUGUCACUUUGUAAAAAGUAAUUACAGAGAGUAUUUUUGAACAGUGUUCAGAUGUGAGGAAUAAGGAUUUGUCAAAUUUGCCUAAUGACUGCAUAACUAAUGAGUAAGACUUGUGGUUAUUUCUGUAAUGCAAAUGUUUUUCAAAAUUCAUACUUGUCUUUUAUUACUGUUAGCAUAAAUUUACAUUAAAGUGUGAGCAUAUUAAACAACAGUGGCAGCACCACUGUGUUCCUGUGAAUGAAAUAUCUCAAAUGCUGUAACUGCAGAGAUUUCUCAGCAUAUCUACCCUAUAGGUGCUUUUCUCUGUCUGAAGAAAUAUCACAGGAUUUCACUGACAUCAUGCUCAGCACAUUUACACUUUUAUUUCUGUAUAAGGAAUUAUUGUUUCUCUCAUUUCAGCCUCUGUCAGGUCCUUCUGAUGAAUUUUCAGGGCAUGGCAUUCAUUUCUCACUGACAUACAAGUCACAUUCCAGAGUUGCUUUGCCUUCUUUUUGGAUGAGUGUGAAUAACAGAAAGUUGACAAAACUGCUUUUCUUCGCCCUGGUUAAUUUUAAAUAACUACAUAAUUUAGGGUUUACAGAAGCUAAUUAAAGUUGAUAGGAAAUCUGCAUUUUAGGCCUACAGCUUUAACAAUCCUCAUGUAUAAGCAUCUGAAGAUCAACCUUUUUUUUUUUGUCCUAAAGCAACACACUAGAAUUUUUUCUUUCCUGAAAAAAUUAAUGUCUGCUGCAAUUUAAAUAACUAGCAUGAAUUCCCCAAAAAUGGUCACUUUCUAAUGGUCACUUUCCUUCUAAUAAGGCUUUUGACCAUAAAGCUAAGCUCAAACCCUUUCAAAGUUAGAAUGUUGUAGCAAAAUUGAGAGCAAAUUCAUUUAUUUGAGGCAGGGGACAUGGGACAGUUUAAUCUUGCAAAGCCAAAUUUCUACAGCCAGGAUUUCUAAAAGGAAAACUAGUCAUGGUGCCCUCAUCUGCCAGAGAAUACUGAAUUUUGGUCUUUAGAAUCCUAACGGUUAAGUUUAAGUUCAUCAACCACAUUUUUAAUAUGGCUUUGGGGAGAAAGAAUUUUUUGUUUCUUGUCUUGUAUUGCGUGGAUUACCAAUUUAAAACGGUAUUUCUUACCUUGCAUAAAACCAACACUCCCUAAUAUUCCUUUCUAACUUCUCCUGCAAAGUCUCAGUAUUGCUACUAAGGACAUCAGUCCAGUCCUUGUAUGAUAUAUUUUAACCAGUCACUGGUGAAGAUGAAGUUUUUCAAGCAUGUGGGGAGCAUCAGACAUCACCUAUCAUCUUCUAUUUGAAACCUUGUGCUUUGUGUCAUUGCCCCUCUGCACUGGCACAGCACACUGAGAGAAGCAGCAGGGCUACAAAGGGCAAAUGCCCUGGUGGGUCAGUGGAGACAGGGAGGAAUCCAGAGAGGAAUCCGGAGAGGAAUUCAUUGCUCUCGGCACCAGAGUGGCAGCCGGUCACAGCUCAGUGAAAAAUGCUUCUCCAGCCAGCUGGUGACAGUCCUGCAUGGAAACUGUUACAAAUGGGAGCAUUCCGAGAAUGGAAUGAAUAAAUUUUUUUUGUCAGAACACAGCAUAUUUGGAGGCUGUGGAUCCUUUAGAGACAGGCAGAUUUUCCAAAUGAGAUUCCUUGCUGGACCCAAAGGAACGCUCAACUAGAUUGUUUCAUUGAUGAAGAGCUGGGGACCCCUGGAGGAGGAACUAAAAUUACUUUAAAUAUAGGGCUUGAUGGAAAAUUCACGACAAACAACUCAAAACACUAGAUAUGCUCUGUUUUAUCUGAAUCCCUUCUAGAAAUACAGACUUCGUUGGUGUUUCUGGAGCACUGAGGACGAGCUGUGGGUUUGCCAUGCUCUGGAAUGGAGGCUGUGUUUUUCCACAUGGGCAGCACAGCAUGGAGCAGCCGUGCUCUG